RNAcentral lists this ribosomal RNA (465 nucleotides) under Vreelandella stevensii. RNAcentral describes it as "partial 16S ribosomal RNA". It matches the Rfam family "Bacterial small subunit ribosomal RNA", at positions 338 to 795 of the family's 1533-position model. Lineage: Bacteria; Pseudomonadati; Pseudomonadota; Gammaproteobacteria; Oceanospirillales; Halomonadaceae. The record is from RNAcentral.
UCUACGGGAGGCUGCAGUGGGGAAUAUUGGACAAUGGGCGAAAGCCUGAUCCAGCCAUGCCGCGUGUGUGAAGAAGGCCUUCGGGUUGUAAAGCACUUUCAGUGGGGAAGAAAGCCUUGGGGCUAAUACCCUCGAGGAAGGACAUCACCCACAGAAGAAGCACCGGCUAACUCCGUGCCAGCAGCCGCGGUAAUACGGAGGGUGUGAGCGUUAAUCGGAAUUACUGGGCGUAAAGCGCGCGUAGGCGGUCUGAUAAGCCGGUUGUGAAAGCCCCGGGCUCAACCUGGGAACGGCAUCCGGAACUGUCAGGCUAGAGUGCAGGAGAGGAAGGUAGAAUUCCCGGUGUAGCGGUGAAAUGCGUAGAGAUCGGGAGGAAUACCAGUGGCGAAGGCGGCCUUCUGGACUGACACUGACGCUGAGGUGCGAAAGCGUGGGUAGCAAACAGGAUUAGAUACCCUAGUAGUC